UGGUAAAUUUUUGGUCACUUUUUGCUUUACACAGCAUUCCAUAAUCCAAACCUUUAAGCAGGCUGCAGCAUAUCGGAGCCCCAUCACGGCGGCUGCACUCCGGUGAGGUGGGGGUUAGAAAGUAGGAUGUCGGAGUGGAAGGCGAGAGAGGGAGAAGUGGAUAUUACCCAAACAAACAUUUGAGCCAUUUUCACUCUCUUACGAAGUGUAGACCUGGUAAAACGCUCUGGUUUGGUUGUGCAGACCCCCUCUCGACACCUCAAAAUGCAGCGGCUCGCUCCUCUUGAAUAGCCUCUCCUCUCUUUCGACGUAGCGAUUUGCGUCAGCUUGUCUCUCCUCCACUGAGGAUACAGAGCGAGGCAGCAGGCCGGGACAGUGACGAAGACCCCAAAAGAGCAUUCUUAAAAAAAAAAGUGCAAAUGUGAGCUGGGGUGGAACACAAAACGUCCACGCUCAUGCUUUGCAUCUGUGAGCUUCAGAACAAAGGGAAACACUCUAAACCAACAUCCUGGGUAUAAAUUUGCAAAACGCAAUACAGGCCUGAUUGUGUGUCGAGUGGAUGUGGGAUGCAUACGAAUAGACCAAUGUGCCCCUUCCUCUCUCCUCCUCUGCCACAAAAUAGAACAACUCUUUCUCUCUUCCCCGGUGUUCUGAUGCAGCCAAAGAAGCUGGACAUCUCCCGAGUGUCUGAUGGAUCAGAGUUCUUCCAAUCUGCAGAAACGGCAUCGCUUUUCUCCAGCCAUUUGGGUGAAAGAGAGAGAAGAAAAGAAGAAAAACUGAAGAAAGUUGUGCCAGUGUACGUGUGUGAUACACGUCAACCUUUGAUUAACGAGGUGAGGCAGACACACAAGUACCCUGGUUUUGGAGGCCUCCAUCCAACAACUCACCACCCUUGAUUGGACUAACUUUUUUUUUUUCAGUCCCUCAGUCAGUCCCUGCCUGACUUUCCCCAUCUCUCCCCUCCUUCCCCCACCCACCCUAUGCCUCUUUCUUUUGAGAUCUACCCAAGAGAUGAAAAAUGGCAUGCAGCUGGCCAAGCACUUCCUUCCUCUUGUCGGGGUCAGCAGUUCACAAUGCUGAUAGAGACCCACACACACCUCCAUUAAUAAGAGCCCCCCUGCACUCACACAGGUCGCUUUACUGCAUCGGUGGACAACCAUCACAUUUGUCUUCAUUUUAAACUUGUGCUUCUCCUGGUGUUCAGACUAGAACUGCGUGUUUGUAUGUAUGUGUGAGUGUGUGUGUGUGUGUGUGUGUGU
Long non-coding RNA from Hippocampus zosterae (dwarf seahorse), 1259 nucleotides. RefSeq lists it as uncharacterized. The record is from RefSeq and is a predicted model, not a curated record. The transcript has 6 exons. NCBI's taxonomy places the organism in Eukaryota, Metazoa, Chordata, Actinopteri, Syngnathiformes, Syngnathidae.